RNAcentral lists this long non-coding RNA (2499 nucleotides) under Calidris pugnax (ruff). RNAcentral describes it as "lncRNA (ENSCPUG00000006695.1)". The record is from RNAcentral. Lineage: Eukaryota; Metazoa; Chordata; Aves; Charadriiformes; Scolopacidae.
UUUCCAUCCAAUGACUCCGCAGGUGGAUGGGGCCGAACCCCACGGGGCUUGGAGAGGAAGAGGGUGAGACCCGCUGUGGAAGGAGGGUGUCCGGGUGCAUGCCACCAAGCCCAGGGUGCAAGGAGGGAGAGGUGGCUGCGAGACUGAAGCUCGCCCCGUUUCCGGGAAGCUGAGUCAACUGUUUGCCCAUCCCGUCUGGGUCACCCCAAGACCUGUGCUGGGGAGCGGUGCCACCCCCAUUCCACAGCCCAGCAUGGUGUCCUGGUGUCCCCAGAAAGCACACCGGCACUUUUGGGAUGUCUCCAGAGGGAUUUUAGGGCCCUAGAGCAUCUUUUCCAACAUUUUGGCGGCAGCUUGGGAGCUUGAAUCCCGUUGGGUUUGUUGGUGGGGGUGUUUUUUUUAAAAGGAACCAAAAUCUGAAGUUUUUCCAGGUGGUGGCAGAGCACCCGCUUCAGGGUGUCUGCACUGGGCAGAGCAAUGGACACAUCCCAGUGACCCCGGGGAGGGCAGCCGCUGGCCAGAAAAUGGGACCCUCGGUGCAUGUCCCCCUCCAGAGCAUCCGGAGAGACCCCCUGCCUGGGGGGGCUGCACUGUGGGGACCUCAAUGAGUCCUGGGGGCUGGGGAGCACCAUCUCGUGCCGUGAUGAGCCCAGCAGCGCCCGGCUGCACCCCAACUCCUGUUUUCUCUCCCCAGAGCUCAGCCCUGCAGCUCCCCCAUGGCUGCAGCCAGCGGCGAGGGGCUGGCCCGGACCCCCCUCCUGCCGGCCGGCGCUGCCCUGGCCCUGCUGGGUGUCCUGGUCUACCUGGGUGCCCUGUGUGCUGCCUGCAGACGCAAGGGCAGGAAGAAGAAGGUCCCUCCAGAUGGGGUGAAGCUGGUGGACGAGUCCCUGCUCAGACAGACGCAGCUGCGGUCGCUCAGCAAGUCCGACACGAAGCUGCACGAGCUGUACCGGGUGAAGGCCAGGGAUGACACCCAGCGACCAGCCAGCCUGGAUUUCCCCCGCGCCGCGUCCCCCCCCAUCGCCACUGCCGACUCCCUGCACAGCUCUGGCAUCAGCGUCCUCCUGCACCGCCAGCUCCCCCAAAUCCCUGUCCCCGAGCCCCCGGCCGCCUCCUCGGCCCCCGACCAGACCUACUCCAACCUGCUCUUCAACCCUCUGCGGAAGCCGGUGCCGGACACCGUCUACGAGUGCCUGGCGGUGGGGGGGGAGGAUGCCCCGGUGCCCCCCGCACCCACCAGCACCCAGGUGUCCCCUCCACGGGCCGGGCACGGGGCGGCCGAUUACGCCUGUGUCCGAAAGGUGAAGAAGACGAUGCCCACGGAGGUGGAAGAUGGGGCCGUGGCGGGGCCUUCUGCAGCCCCACAGUGGUGGGACGGGGCGGGCAAUGCCCCCCGAGCGAAGCUGGAAGAGAUGUACUCGACAGUGUGCAAAGCCACCAAGAAGAAAACUCAGGUCCCCGCGUCAUCCCCAGGGGCUGCGAAGGAGGUGGGUGCUGGGUGGCCCCCCACCUGCCGGGGGGAGGGUGCCCAGGCUGGGUGCUGGCCCUCGGCAGCCCAAGCCCCCCCAGAUCCCUGCUACGAGUCCAUCAACGACAGAGCCUGGACUGCUCAGGGCCGUGGCCCCGACCCGGACUACGAGGCCGUGGACGUUAACUGGAAGAAGGGGGCAAAACGGGAGAAGUCGGGGAAGUCCUGUGUCCCCGAGAACCUGUACGAAAGCGUCAGUGACAUUUGGGCGGGGGAGUCCCGACGAGCCCCCGCCAGGACGGCGGCCAACGGGCUGGAGGUGUACAUCACCAACCUAUAGCACCCCCCCGGCAGAGGGGUCCUCGCUCGGCUUUCCAGGGGGUUGAGCCCCCCGGGGAUGGGCACACACCAGCCCGGUGCCCGCCGGGCGGCUGCAUCCCCUCAAGUGCUCUCUGUAUAUAUUUUAUAUUCAUUUUCUUUAAGCAUCCUUGUCCCAUCCCCACCCCGUGCCAGCAGGUUGGCAUCGGGAUGCCCUGAAGUGGGUGAUUUAUGGGUGCUGGGUUUACCAAGAUGGGAAUAGGUUUGGGACCAGCUUUGUUUUGGGGCGGGUGUGGGGAGGGGGGCUGCAGGAUCAGGCCCCUCAUCAGCCAUUAUGUCAUGGCUGAGGGUCUCCUUUCUCCUCCCUCUGCCCGGGGUGGGAGCAGGGCCCCGUCCAGCCCCUGGGAAGCCCCGAACAGCUUCGGUCCCAUCACUGAAUGACCCUGGUUAUGGGGACCAGGGGCCAGUCCUGUGCCUCUGUGCAAGGCAGCGUGGGCUGGGGGCUGUGAUCCGUCCCCAUCACCCACUCCCACCUUUCAGACACGUCCAGGGGUGCCUCCAGGAGCGGAUGUCUCCCAAACACCAUUAAAAAGUUGAGAGGGAAAAAAAAACCAAACCAACUCUUAAACUGGAUCUGAAAGCCUGGUUGUGUCAGCGGCGGGUGCUGCAGCGGUGCUGGGAGCAGCGUCACCGUGAGCGGGUGCACGGAGGGU